GAUGAACGCUGACAGAAUGCUUAACACAUGCAAGUCGAUGGGGAAGUGGUGCUUGCACCAUGGUAACCAUGGCGGACGGGUGAGUAACGCGUAAGGAACUUGCCUGCGGGACUGGGAUAACAGCAGGAAACUGCUGAUAAUACCGGAUAAGGUCAUUAAGCUGCAUAGCUUAGUGAUGAAAGGAGACGCCUGCGGAGAGCCUUGCGUCCUAUUAGCUAGUUGGAGGGGUAACGGCCCACCAAGGCGAAGAUAGGUAGCCGGCCUGAGAGGGUGGACGGCCACAAGGGGACUGAGAUACGGCCCUUACUCCUACGGGAGGCAGCAGUGGGGAAUAGUGGACAAUGGGGGCAACCCUGAUCCAGCAAUUCUGUGUGCAUGAAGACGGUUUUCGGAUUGUAAAGUGCUUUCAGCAGGGAAGAAGGAAGUGACGGUACCUGCAGAAGAAGCGACGGCUAAAUACGUG
Molecule: ribosomal RNA, 463 nt
Filed under: uncultured bacterium
Lineage: Bacteria
Description: partial 16S ribosomal RNA
Rfam family: Bacterial small subunit ribosomal RNA
Source: RNAcentral